RNAcentral lists this ribosomal RNA (514 nucleotides) under uncultured bacterium. RNAcentral describes it as "partial 16S ribosomal RNA". It matches the Rfam family "Bacterial small subunit ribosomal RNA", at positions 28 to 523 of the family's 1533-position model. The record is from RNAcentral.
GAUGAACGCUGGCGGCGUGCCUAAUACAUGCAAGUCGAGCGAACAGAUGAGAAGCUUGCUUCUCUGAUGUUAGCGGCGGACGGGUGAGUAACACGUGGGUAACCUACCUAUAAGACUGGGAUAACUCCGGGAAACCGGGGCUAAUACCGGAUAAUAUUUUGAACCGCAUGGUUCAAUAGUGAAAGACGGUUUCGGCUGUCACUUAUAGAUGGACCCGCGCCGUAUUAGCUAGUUGGUAAGGUAACGGCUUACCAAGGCGACGAUACGUAGCCGCCCGGAGAGGGUGAGCGGCCACACUGGAACUGAGACACGGUCCAGACUCCUACGGGAGGCAGCAGUAGGGAAGCUUCCGCAAUGGGCGAAAGCCUGACGGAGCAACGCCGCGUGAGUGAUGAAGGUCUUCGGAUCGUAAACCUCUGUUGUUAGGGAAGAACAAAUUUGUUAGUAACUGAACAAGUCUUGACGGUACCUAACCAGAAAGCCACGGCUAACUACGUGCCAGCAGCCGCCGUAA